RNAcentral lists this long non-coding RNA (872 nucleotides) under Helianthus annuus (common sunflower). RNAcentral describes it as "hypothetical non coding rna". The record is from RNAcentral. Lineage: Eukaryota; Viridiplantae; Streptophyta; Magnoliopsida; Asterales; Asteraceae.
AAAAAAAGUGUUUCCAGAUUAUUCCCCAGGUACGAUUUUUUUGUGCAACACUACCCUCGCCCAUACUGAAUUCGCCCUAGGCUACAAGCUAUUAGGCUGAGCUUCUACGGUGGUUGCCGGACGAACGGGCAACUAAAACGCCAAACUCAACUGGGAAACAAAAUCAUUCGAGAUUCAAGCCACGUAUGAGAGUAUUUGAGCUGCAACUGGGUCGAUACUUUUUAACGAGCCAACAGCAGCCAACGCGGGUGCAAGAGAAUCACCUCUACUCUUCAAAACAAUCAAAGGAAGAGGAGGAAAAGAAAUUGGUGCAUAUACUGAAGCUAUAGAAAAUCUUCCUGCGUGUAAAAAUCUUUCCAUCUUAUGCUUGUCUGAGUUAAAAUUGUCGGACGCAAAAGUUGGCCUGUAAUUUUUUUUUCAGAAUUUAAAGUGGUCAAGUAUGAAUGAUGGUAGAUAUAAAAAACAUAUAACAGAGAUAAGUGAUACCUUGUGAUAAACUGUCGGAAGCCAACAUGAAAGAUUAGUUCUUCUUUGGCUUUUAUGGGAUCAGUGUCUCUCUCUCUUACAGAUAAAUGAAUAAGGAAACCUUUGGUGGAUGUUUUGUGGAGGUUGCGGGAGGAUUUGGAAGCGAAACGAGUCUUGUGCGACUUGUUAACUUGAGAUCGAGAACCACCCGCCAUUGUUGUUGCUGGAGGUGAAGAAGAGAAUAAACCCUAACUGGGAUUUAAGACGAAGAACGUUAUGUUAUGUUUGUGUUUUUUGUGAAAUGUUUGUGUAAUGUAAUGGGCUGGGCUACGACCCACUGGAUCAAUUAGCUUAGCCCGUAUAAAGUUACCUAUCUAUUGGUGUGACCCGAUCCAUUAAUUCUCUUU